GGUGGGGAUGACGUCAAAUCAUCAUGCCCCUUAUGUCUUGGGCUUCACGCAUGCUACAAUGGCCGGUACAGAGGGCUGCGAUACCGUGAGGUGGAGCGAAUCCCUUAAAGCCGGUCUCAGUUCGGAUCGGUGUCUGCAACUCGACACCGUGAAGUUGGAGUCGCUAGUAAUCGCAGAUCAGCAACGCUGCGGUGAAUACGUUCCCGGGC
RNAcentral lists this ribosomal RNA (209 nucleotides) under Ctenophora environmental sample. Its description in RNAcentral is "partial Bacterial small subunit ribosomal RNA". It matches the Rfam family "Bacterial small subunit ribosomal RNA", at positions 1172 to 1379 of the family's 1533-position model. The record is from RNAcentral. Lineage: Eukaryota; Metazoa; Ctenophora.